CUCGUAGUUGGAUCUCGGUGCCGGUCUGGCGGUCCGCCUCGCCGCGGUCUCACUGCCAGUCCCGGAGCCAUCCCGCCGGCCUUCCCUCGGUGCUCUUUACCGAGUGUCUUGGGUGACCGGAACGUUUACUUUGAACAAAUUAGAGUGCUCCAAGCAGGCGCGUCCCGCCCGCAUAGCCCAGCAUGGAAUAAUGGAAUAGGACCUCGGUUCUAUUUUGUUGGUUUUCGGAACCCGAGGUAAUGAUUAAUAGGGACAGACGGGGGCAUUCGUAUUGCGACGCUAGAGGUGAAAUUCUUGGACCGUCGCAAGACGAACUACUGCCAAAGCAUUUGCCAAGAAUGUUUUCCUUAAUCAAGAACGAAAGUUAUAGGUU
RNAcentral lists this ribosomal RNA (373 nucleotides) under Craterostigmus tasmanianus. Its description in RNAcentral is "SSU rRNA". It matches the Rfam family "Eukaryotic small subunit ribosomal RNA", at positions 627 to 998 of the family's 1831-position model. Lineage: Eukaryota; Metazoa; Arthropoda; Chilopoda; Craterostigmomorpha; Craterostigmidae. The record is from RNAcentral.